Peromyscus maniculatus bairdii (prairie deer mouse) is the source of this 125-nucleotide non-coding RNA. The record is from RefSeq and is a predicted model, not a curated record. NCBI's taxonomy places the organism in Eukaryota, Metazoa, Chordata, Mammalia, Rodentia, Cricetidae.
GCUCCAGAUCUCAUUACAGAUGGUUGUGAGCCCCCAUGUGGUUGCUGGGAAUUGAACUCAGAACCUCUGGGAGAGCAGCCUCUUAACCCCUGAGCCAUCUCUCCAAGCCCUCUAGGGUAGUUUUU